CGCGGUCAGCGCGCGGCCCCGGGGGAGGUCCGGGUGGGGGGACGCCUCCCUCGUGGGGAGGGCACAGGUGGAGGGACGUCGCCCCUCGUGGGGAAGGGAGUGGGUCGCCACCCGCCGCCCCCAGGGGCCAUUCCAGGGGUCCCAACACGCGGUCAUUCUCUGACGGAGUCGCGGUCCCAUCCUGACCCAGGGGGAGACCCGAGGAGCAGGAUUCGGAAGUUCGCAGUGUCGGGGGAGGCUAACCGGGAAACGGGGCCCACCCCACAGCCCGCAGCCUCUGGAGGUCCCCCGAGUGGCCCUUCGGCAGGAGGUGCCGCGGGCCUCGGGCACAGGGAAACGAAGAAACCAGAGCUGCGGAUCCACUCAGACCUGGGCCUCCGCCCCGGGACAAGGCCCGUGACCUCAGGGACGGAGCCGCCCCUCCCGGACGCCGGCAGCUGCUGGCGUCCCCAGCGCCACACGCCCAGGAGUUCGGGCGGCGCGCAGGCUCCCAGCAAAUGCUGUGAUGCUUCUGGGCUGAUACAUCAUCACGGAAUACCUUUCUAGUGGGUAAUUGUGGACCUAGGACUUCCUGGUGUUCACAUUCAUGUCUUUACGUGGCAUCCUGGGUGUAAUCGGCACCCACAGGUAAGUUCUUCCUGCCUGACCGGCAGGACAGGCAAUCGUGUGGCAAGGACGAACAACGCGGCCCACAGGUCUGUCCCACCAAGCCCUCAGGGAAGCCGGGCGGCCUGCUGGACGGCGUUCAAACCCUACCACACUCAAACCCGCAGGCGUGACAGGGUGGGCCCCAACACAGGCAGCUGGCCCUAUGUAUGUUUGUGCUUUAUCACUUGAUCGGCUCACUGCUUUGUUAAGACAUGAAUUCAAACAGAAUUAAGGUAGAAUGUUUGCUUCCAGUCUGAGCAAAUCCAGACAAGGGGAGCAGCUGCCCUAAGACCUGACAGUGUGAGCAGAAUUCACACAAAUUCGUUCCUCAAAAGCUGUAUGCAAAGUGUUUGCACGUGGAACCACCACCGUGCGAUGUCUGGUUCUGGAGACGGGCGCCCACAGGGAAGGAGAUUUGGCAUGAUAACCGUAAACUCGGUUCAUUCCCAUGACCUUUCACAUACCUGUUGGAGUUCGCUUACGACGAAAACAUACCAGACGACCUCACGUUCCCAAGUCUGCGUCCGCACUGGAGGAGCCAAGUUCGCGGAAUUGAGCCCACAGUGCCAAGGAUACAGACACACUACGAAACCCCAGCAGGUACCUGCGGACGUGAGUCAGCUCUCCUUAACACUGAACUGGAAGAAAUGGGGAGUCGGAUCGAGGACCUACAGAAGAAUGUCAACGACCUGAUGCUGCAGGCUGGGAUCGAAAACGCUGCCACGGAACAAACGACUUGAAGACAGAAUCCAGUCACUUGAAAAUGUAACAAAAUAAAAAAUUUACUUUUUGAGUAAUAAUCUAUAUAACCUGAGUUCCGACUUCUAGUAUUUAAAAAUUCAUUCUAGCAAAGUAAAAGAUCAGCAGAACAGAGACGCUGCGGUAGGAGUAACUCAGCCGGUGACGGGCCCCACAGCGAAGCGGCUCCGACACGGCCGGGGGCGCCCAGCGCUGGCCACCACGGAGGG
RNA transcript from Pteropus alecto (black flying fox), 1616 nucleotides. It is a transcript of the gene named heat shock factor binding protein 1 like 1, with no coding region annotated. Lineage: Eukaryota; Metazoa; Chordata; Mammalia; Chiroptera; Pteropodidae. The transcript has 5 exons. The record is from RefSeq and is a predicted model, not a curated record.